RNAcentral lists this non-coding RNA (126 nucleotides) under Brachypodium distachyon (stiff brome). RNAcentral describes it as "Bacterial small subunit ribosomal RNA". It matches the Rfam family "Bacterial small subunit ribosomal RNA", at positions 1054 to 1183 of the family's 1533-position model. Lineage: Eukaryota; Viridiplantae; Streptophyta; Magnoliopsida; Poales; Poaceae. The record is from Rfam by way of RNAcentral.
GUCCUCUCGUGCCGUAAGGUGUUGGGUUAAGUCUCGCAACGAGCGCAACCCUCGUGUUUAGUUGCCAUAUGAGUUUGGAACCCUGAACAGACCGCCGGUGUUAAGCCGGAGGUGGAGUAGUUACAC